RNAcentral lists this ribosomal RNA (458 nucleotides) under uncultured bacterium. RNAcentral describes it as "partial 16S ribosomal RNA". It matches the Rfam family "Bacterial small subunit ribosomal RNA", at positions 338 to 795 of the family's 1533-position model. The record is from RNAcentral.
CCUACGGGAGGCAGCAGUGAGGAAUAUUGGUCAAUGGGCGAGAGUCUGAACCAGCCAAGUCGCGUGAGGGAGUACUGCCCUAUGGGUUGUAAACCUCUUUUGUCGGGGAGCAAAAUCCAGCCGUUUCCGGCUUUUAGAUUACCCGAAUAAACAGCAUCGGCUCACUCCGUUCCAGCAGCCGCGGUAAUACGGAGGAUGCGAGCGUUAUCCGGAUUUAUUGGGUUUAAAGGGUGCGCAGGCGGAUUUUUAAGUCAGCGGUCAAAUGGUGGGGCUCAACCCCAUCCAGCCGGUGAAACUGGGGUGCUGGAGUGGGCGAGAGGCAGGCGGAAUGCGUGGUGUAGCGGUGAAAUGCAUAGAGAGGACGAAGAACCCCGAUUGCGAAGGCAGCAUACCGGGGCGGAACUGACGCUCAGGCUCGAAAGCGGGGGUAUCGAACAGGAUUAGAUACCCGGGUAGUC